AUACGGAGGAUCCGAGCGUUAUCCGGAUUUAUUGGGUUUAAAGGGAGCGUAGGUGGGAUAUUAAGUCAGCUGUGAAAGUUUGGGGCUCAACCUUAAAAUUGCAGUUGAUACUGGUUUCCUUGAGUACGGUACAGGUGGGCGGAAUUCGUGGUGUAGCGGUGAAAUGCUUAGAUAUCACGAAGAACUCCGAUCGCGAAGGCAGCACACCGGACCGGAACUGACACUGAUGCUCGAAAGGGCGGGUAUCAAACAGGAUUAGAUACCCUGGUAGUCCGCACAGUAAACGAUGAAUACUCGCUGUUUGCGAUACACGGUAAGCGGCCAAGCGAAAGCGUUAAGUAUUCCACCUGGGGAGUACGCCGGCAACGGUGAAGCUCAAAUGAAUUGACGGGG
RNAcentral lists this ribosomal RNA (393 nucleotides) under uncultured bacterium. RNAcentral describes it as "partial 16S ribosomal RNA". It matches the Rfam family "Bacterial small subunit ribosomal RNA", at positions 523 to 918 of the family's 1533-position model. The record is from RNAcentral.